RNAcentral lists this ribosomal RNA (801 nucleotides) under uncultured Tetracladium. RNAcentral describes it as "eukaryotic LSU rRNA". The stretch from base 209 to 801 matches the Rfam family "Eukaryotic large subunit ribosomal RNA", at positions 1 to 597 of the family's 3401-position model. Lineage: Eukaryota; Fungi; Ascomycota. The record is from RNAcentral.
CUUUGAACGCACAUUGCGCCCCUUGGUAUUCCGAGGGGCAUGCCUAUUCGAGCGUCAUUAUCACCCCUCAAGCCUAGCUUGGUGUUGAGACCUGCUGUCAAGGCAGUCUCUAAAAUCAGUGGCAGUGCUGUCAGGCUCUAAGCGUAGUAAAUUCAUCGCUAUAGACACCUGGUGGACACUCGCCAGAACCCCCCCAUUUUUUAAUGAUUGACCUCGGAUUAGGUAGGGAUACCCGCUGAACUUAAGCAUAUCAAUAAGCGGAGGAAAAGAAACCAACAGGGAUUGCCUCAGUAACGGCGAGUGAAGCGGCAAAAGCUCAAAUUUGAAAUCUGGCUCUUUUAGGGUCCGAGUUGUAAUUUGUAGAAGAUGUUUCGGGUGUGGCUCCGGUUUAAGUUCUUUGGAAUAUUACAUCAUAGAGGGUGAGAAUCCCGUAUGUGACCGGCAGCCUUCGCCUAUGUGAAACUCUUUCGACGAGUCGAGUUGUUUGGGAAUGCAGCUCAAAAUGGGAGGUAUAUUUCUUCUAAAGCUAAAUAUUGGCCAGAGACCGAUAGCGCACAAGUAGAGUGAUCGAAAGAUGAAAAGCACUUUGGAAAGAGAGUUAAACAGUACGUGAAAUUGUUGAAAGGGAAGCGCUUGCAACCAGACUUGCACGCAGUUGAUCAUCCGGUGUUCUCACCGGGGCACUCUGCUGCGUUCAGGCCAGCAUCGGUUUUGGUGGUUGGAUAAAGGCCUUGGGAAUGUGGCUUCCUUCGGGGAGUGUUAUAGCCCUCGGUGCAAUGCAGCCUACCGGGACCGAGGACC